Molecule: ribosomal RNA, 568 nt
Filed under: Oosporidium margaritiferum
Lineage: Eukaryota; Fungi; Ascomycota
Description: eukaryotic LSU rRNA
Rfam family: Eukaryotic large subunit ribosomal RNA
Source: RNAcentral
AAACCAACAGGGAUUGCCUCAGUAACGGCGAGUGAAGCGGCAACAGCUCAAAUUUGAAAUCUGGCUCUCGGGCCCGAGUUGUAAUUUGUAGAGGAUGCUUCGGGUACGGCUACGGUCUAAGUUCCUUGGAACAGGACGUCAUGGAGGGUGAGAAUCCCGUGUGUGACCGCCGGCUACGCCCAUGUGAAGCGCCUUCGACGAGUCGAGUUGUUUGGGAAUGCAGCUCAAAAUGGGUGGUAAAUUUCAUCUAAAGCUAAAUAUUGGCCAGAGACCGAUAGCGCACAAGUAGAGUGAUCGAAAGAUGAAAAGCACUUUGGAAAGAGAGUUAAAAAGCAUGUGAAAUUGUUGAAAGGGAAGCGCUUGCAAUCAGACUUGCUCCCAGGUGCUCAGCCGGUGUUUUCACCGGUGCAUUCGCCUGGGGUCAGGCCAGCAUCGGUUUGGGCGGUCAGAUAAAGGCCUCUGGAAUGUAGCUCCUCUCGGGGAGUGUUAUAGCCAGUGGUGCAAUGUGGCCCGCCUGGACCGAGGAACGCGCUUCGGCUCGGAUGCUGGCGUAAUGGUUGUAAGCGAC